RNAcentral lists this ribosomal RNA (484 nucleotides) under uncultured bacterium. RNAcentral describes it as "partial 16S ribosomal RNA". It matches the Rfam family "Bacterial small subunit ribosomal RNA", at positions 30 to 507 of the family's 1533-position model. The record is from RNAcentral.
AUUGAACGCUGGCGGCAGGCCUAACACAUGCAAGUCGAGCGGAUGAAGGGAGCUUGCUCCUGGAUUCAGCGGCGGACGGGUGAGUAAUGCCUAUGAAUCUGCCUGGUAGUGGGGGAUAACGUCCGGAAACGGGCGCUAAUACCGCAUACGUCCUGAGGGUGAAAGUGGGGGAUCUUCGGACCCCACGCUUUCAGAUGAGCCUAGGUCGGAUUAGCUAGUUGGUGGGGUAAAGGCCUACCAAGGCGACGAUCCGUAACUGGUAUGACAGGAUGAUCAGUCACACGGGAACUGAGACACGGACCAGACUACUACGGGAGGCAGCAGUGGGGAAUAUUGGACAAUGGGCGAAAGACUGAUACAGCAAUGCCGCGUGUGUGAAGAAGGUCUUCGGAGUGUAAAGCACUUUAAGUUGGGAGGAAGGGAAGUAAGAUAAUAACUUGCUGUUUUGACGUUACCAACAGAAUAAGCACCGGCUAACUUCGUG